ACCUGGCUCUGAUACCAUAAC
RNAcentral lists this microRNA (21 nucleotides) under Prunus persica (peach). Its description in RNAcentral is "ppe-miR1511-3p". The record is from miRBase by way of RNAcentral. Lineage: Eukaryota; Viridiplantae; Streptophyta; Magnoliopsida; Rosales; Rosaceae.